Molecule: small RNA, 793 nt
Filed under: Arabidopsis thaliana (thale cress)
Lineage: Eukaryota; Viridiplantae; Streptophyta; Magnoliopsida; Brassicales; Brassicaceae
Description: putative long intergenic non-coding RNA
Source: RNAcentral
UCUUCUUCUUCUUUAAUUUUCUUCUUGAUAAUCUCUUUUAUACAGAGACUCGGUGUGAAUUCCGAUGAUCCAAUUAGUAGUCUUUGAAGAAGUGAAAAGCCCAUGACGAUGAUGAUCUCCUCUGCAACAUGAUGAUCCGUAAGAGUUGAAUUCACUUUUCUCCGAUGAGUCGCGGUGGAGCCAAGGCGGCUGUUAACGGCGACUAGACCACGUUUGUUCUCAACGAUCCGUACGAUUACGUCUUACGAGGCGUUCUUAGCAAGCCAUCUCUUGAAGCCACAUGUUGCAUAUCGGCUUGGAUUGGAGGUAUGAGAUUCGCUUGCACGAUUACUUUGGGGGAGAAAGCUUCGACUAAGGAGGAGGACGCGAAUCAGAGGAAAACAGAGAACGAAUCCACCGGUGGAGACAAAGGAAUCGCGAGUUAUUAGGGUUUCACAACCUUUAGGUCUAUUUUCCUUUUCUUACUUUUUUUUGAAAAUCAUAUAACAUAGUAAUAGUUUUGAUUUUUUUAAAAAAUAUUCUAUUUUCCAAUUCUAAUUAAUACUAAAUAAAUAUCAAAGGUUUUUUCAAAUAUUUUUUAAGUAAAAUUCAUGAUUUUUUUCUUAAUGUUUUGUCUUUUUCUUUUAAGUGUUAAAUUUUAAUUUUUAUGUAAACUAAUUAGAUACAAUAUCUAAAUCCCUAAAAUAUUUUGGUUUUUAAAAAAUCUAAGUGUUAAAUUUCAAUGCAUUGAGAACAAACCGGAUUAAGCAUGCCGUCCCAUCCUACGGGUCCGUAAGCCGUGUUAUUAGUUCAA